GAUGAACGCUAGCGGCAGGCUUAACACAUGCAAGUCGAGGGGUAGGUUACUUCGGUAAUUGAGACCGGCGCACGGGUGCGUAACGCGUAUACAAUCUACCUUUUACAGAGGGAUAGCCCAGAGAAAUUUGGAUUAAUACCUCAUAGUAUUUUUGAAUCGCAUGAUUUGAUUAUUAAAGUUCCAACGGUAAAAGAUGAGUAUGCGUCCCAUUAGCUAGAUGGUAAGGUAACGGCUUACCAUGGCUACGAUGGGUAGGGGUCCUGAGAGGGAGAUCCCCCCACACUGGUACUGAGACACGGACCAGACUCCUACGGGAGGCAGCAGUGAGGAAUAUUGGACAAUGGGCGCAAGCCUGAUCCAGCCAUGCCGCGUGCAGGAAGAAGGUCCUAUGGAUUGUAAACUGCUUUUAUACAAGAAGAAACACUCCCUCGUGAGGGAACUUGACGGUACUGUAUGAAUAAGGACCGGCUAACUCCGUGCCAGCAGCCG
RNAcentral lists this ribosomal RNA (489 nucleotides) under uncultured bacterium. Its description in RNAcentral is "bacterial SSU rRNA". It matches the Rfam family "Bacterial small subunit ribosomal RNA", at positions 28 to 517 of the family's 1533-position model. The record is from RNAcentral.